This 253-nucleotide ribosomal RNA is filed under the name uncultured bacterium. Its description in RNAcentral is "partial 16S ribosomal RNA". It matches the Rfam family "Bacterial small subunit ribosomal RNA", at positions 524 to 776 of the family's 1533-position model. The record is from RNAcentral.
GACAGAGGUGGCAAGCGUUGUUCGGAAUCACUGGGCUUAAAGGGCGUGUAGGCGGCAUUGCAAGUCUGGGGUGGAAUCCGGUGGCUUAACCACCGAACUGCCCUGGAAACUGCAUUGCUUGAGUCAGUGAGGGGAGGGCGGAAUUCCCGGUGUAGCAGUGAAAUGCGUAGAUAUCGGGAGGAAGGCCGGUGGCGAAGGCGGCCCUCUGGUGCUUGACUGACGCUGAGGCGCUAAAGCGUGGGGAGCAAACAGG